Molecule: unclassified non-coding RNA, 188 nt
Filed under: uncultured fungus
Lineage: Eukaryota; Fungi
Description: sequence contains ITS1
Source: RNAcentral
UUGAUUUAUUUGUUUGUUUUACUCAGAAGUUACAAUAAGAAACAUUAGAGUUUGGGUCCCCCGGCGGGCGCCUGAGUCCGGGCCCGAAGGCACCGGGGCGGAUCCGCCGAAGCAACGAUAGGUAUGUUCACAGGGGUUUGGGAGUUGUAAACUCGGUAAUGAUCCCUCCGCUGGUUCACCAACGGAGA